Molecule: non-coding RNA, 85 nt
Organism: Canis lupus familiaris (dog)
Lineage: Eukaryota; Metazoa; Chordata; Mammalia; Carnivora; Canidae
Source: Rfam
CUGUGUGUAGUGCCCUGCAUAGGAAGGUCCUGAUUACCAGUAUGAUGUGUAACAGUGCCUGCCUGGGUAGAGUAAUGCUCCACAA